AACGCGAAGAACCUUACCUGGGCUUGAAAGUUAGUGACCGGCUCUGAAAGGAGCCUUUCCGAAAGGACACGAAACUAGGUGCUGCAUGGCUGUCGUCAGCUCGUGCCGUGAGGUGUUGGGUUAAGUCCUGUAACGAGCGCAACCCCUACCAUUAGUUGCCAGCGGGUAAUGCCGGGGACUCUAAUGGAACUGCCUGCGUAAGCAGCGAGGAAGGUGGGGAUGACGUCAAGUCAUCACGGCCCUUACGUCCAGGGCUACACACGUGCUACAAUGGUCGACACAAUGGGUUGCUACCUGGUAACAGGAUGCUAAUCUCUAAAGUCGGCCUCAGUUCGGAUAGAGGUCUGCAAUUCGACCUCUUGAAGUUGGAUUCGCUAGUAAUCGCGCAUCAGCAAUGGCGCGGUGAAUACGUUCCCGGGCCUUGUA
RNAcentral lists this ribosomal RNA (426 nucleotides) under uncultured Bacteroidota bacterium. RNAcentral's name for it is "bacterial SSU rRNA". It matches the Rfam family "Bacterial small subunit ribosomal RNA", at positions 958 to 1385 of the family's 1533-position model. Lineage: Bacteria; Pseudomonadati; Bacteroidota. The record is from RNAcentral.